UGUGGGGCUCAAACACAAGGACCCUGAGAUCAUGACCUGAGCCGAAAUCAAGUCGGACACUCAACUGACUGAACUACAAAGGCACCCCCAAAAAGCCGCAGGUUUAAUGGCAAAAGGAAAAAAAUUCGGGGGAAUAUGAUUGGGGAAGAGUCAUUUCUUAGUGCUGCCAAGGAUUAAUUCAGCCAAUACUGAACAUUAUUGUGCCAGGCAAAGAUCAGGCUAUAUUUCAAUCAAAGGUAAAUUAUAACAUUCUAAAACUUUUUUAAAACUUUCCCCAUUAGUUUGUACCUAAUAAAGGCUAAAAUUAAAAGGCAUAAGAGGCCCAAACAAAUAAGGUCUCAAUUUCUUGCAAUGAUCCCUGCACAGCACCUUCAACAUCUACAUCAGUGCACUGAAUACAUCUUUGGUUGAAACAUAAAAGACACCCAUGUGCAAAGUAUUUUCAAGAGUUUUGUUGGCUUUUUUUUAACUGGUAAGGAUGCACAUAGCAAAAAAAAGACUUCUCUAAAUCUCAGGUCCUUUUCUAAUUUCCUUCAGAACAAUAGCACAUUUUCAAUGCCAAAACUUCAGAUGCCAAAACUGAAUUCUCAUAAUGGAUCCUGCAACUAGUACUACCCAGAAGAUGGAGAUGAUAGUCUCUGGAGUUGGCCAGAACACAUGAGAAGGCACAGCUAAGAAGAGUGAGUGGACGGCCAAGACAAUGGCUAAGACCAAAUGAUUCCAUCAAUUCAGUGAACUUGUAUUUUCCAGACCCCUCAGCUAGGCACCCCUGAGAUCUGUAUGGAGGCCUGACAGGGCAGGUGCAUCAAAAGCUCACUCAAGAAUCAUGUGAGGCCAAGAGAUGAUUUUCUAACAUGGUAAUCUCUACACCCAGUGUGGGGCUCAAACUCACAACCCU
Long non-coding RNA from Leptonychotes weddellii (Weddell seal), 898 nucleotides. RefSeq lists it as uncharacterized. NCBI's taxonomy places the organism in Eukaryota, Metazoa, Chordata, Mammalia, Carnivora, Phocidae. The record is from RefSeq and is a predicted model, not a curated record.